UACGUAGGCAGCGAGCGUUGUUCGGAGUUACUGGGCGUAAAGAGUGCGUAGGCGGUUUUCUAAGUUUGGUGUGAAAUCCCCCGGCUCAACUGGGAGGGUGCGCCGAAGACUGGAAGGCUUGAGUAUGGGAGAGGUAAGCGGAAUUCCUGGUGUAGCGGUGAAAUGCGUAGAUAUCAGGAGGAACACCGGUGGCGAAGGCGGAUCUCUGGGCCUGUUCUGACGCUGAGGCGCGAAAGCUAGGGGAGCGAACAGG
This 253-nucleotide ribosomal RNA is filed under the name uncultured bacterium. RNAcentral's name for it is "partial 16S ribosomal RNA". It matches the Rfam family "Bacterial small subunit ribosomal RNA", at positions 524 to 776 of the family's 1533-position model. The record is from RNAcentral.